CCUACGGGUGGCAGCAGUGGGGAAUAUUGCACAAUGGGGGAAACCCUGAUGCAGCGACGCCGCGUGAAGGAAGAAGUAUUUCGGUAUGUAAACUUCUAUCAGCAGGGAAGAAAAUGACGGUACCUGACUAAGAAGCCCCGGCUAACUACGUGCCAGCAGCCGCGGUAAUACGUAGGGGGCAAGCGUUAUCCGGAUUUACUGGGUGUAAAGGGCGUGCAGCCGGAGAGACAAGUCAGAUGUGAAAUCCACGGGCUCAACCCGUGAACUGCAUUUGAAACUGUUUUUCUUGAGUACUGGAGAGGCAGACGGAAUUCCUUGUGUAGCGGUGAAAUGCGUAGAUAUAAGGAGGAACACCAGUGGCGAAGGCGGUCUGCUGGACAGCAACUGACGGUGAGGCGCGAAAGCGUGGGGAGCAAACAGGAUUAGAUACCCCGGUAGUC
Molecule: ribosomal RNA, 440 nt
Filed under: uncultured bacterium
Lineage: Bacteria
Description: partial 16S ribosomal RNA
Rfam family: Bacterial small subunit ribosomal RNA
Source: RNAcentral